This 253-nucleotide unclassified non-coding RNA is filed under the name uncultured Pseudomonadaceae bacterium. RNAcentral describes it as "contains 16S-23S intergenic spacer region". It matches the Rfam family "Bacterial small subunit ribosomal RNA", at positions 524 to 776 of the family's 1533-position model. Lineage: Bacteria; Pseudomonadati; Pseudomonadota; Gammaproteobacteria; Pseudomonadales; Pseudomonadaceae. The record is from RNAcentral.
AACGUAGGAGACGAGCGUUAAUCGGAAUUACUGGGCGUAAAGCGCGCGUAGGUGGUUUGUUAAGUUGGAUGUGAAAGCCCCGGGCUUAACUUGGGAACUGCAUCCAAAACUGGCAAGCUAGAGUACGGUAGAGGGUGGUGGAAUUUCCUGUGUAGCGGUGAAAUGCGUAGAUAUAGGAAGGAACACCAGUGGCGAAGGCGACCACCUGGACUGAUACUGACACUGAGGUGCGAAAGCGUGGGGAGCAAACAGG